GCACCAUUAGCACUUGAAGAAACUCUCAAAGGUCUGUUUCUCUUGUUACUAUUACAUACCAAAAUAGGUUGUUUCUGCAAUGAUGCAACACAUCCAUGCUGCAGACCUCUCCAUAGCUGAUGGUGAAGCUCUGGCUGGUGGAAGAAGUUCGUCGGUUGCUGAAUUAGAAUGGUGGAAGAAACCAUUCUUGAGAGUGAGCUAAAAAUUUAGUGGAAUUUCAGUAAAGAAGAUUCAUACAUCGAUGGAAUUUGGGUUCUUGAAACGUUAUCCACUCUACUGUCAGU
This 284-nucleotide unclassified non-coding RNA is filed under the name Hevea brasiliensis (rubber tree). Lineage: Eukaryota; Viridiplantae; Streptophyta; Magnoliopsida; Malpighiales; Euphorbiaceae. The record is from RNAcentral.